This 35-nucleotide small RNA is filed under the name Bombyx mori (domestic silkworm). RNAcentral's name for it is "ovarian small RNA-14681". Lineage: Eukaryota; Metazoa; Arthropoda; Insecta; Lepidoptera; Bombycidae. The record is from RNAcentral.
CUCCUGUGACACAGGUGAGCCAGACUCGGUGGCGC